This 71-nucleotide transfer RNA is filed under the name Candidatus Sungiibacteriota bacterium. Its description in RNAcentral is "tRNA-Pro". It matches the Rfam family "tRNA". From Rfam's summary of the family: Transfer RNA (tRNA) molecules are approximately 80 nucleotides in length. Lineage: Bacteria; Candidatus Sungiibacteriota. The record is from RNAcentral.
CGGAGAGUAGUGUAGUGGCUGCACGAGUCCUUUGGGAGGAUUUAGUCCGGGUUCGAUUCCCGGCUCUCCGA